RNAcentral lists this ribosomal RNA (248 nucleotides) under uncultured crenarchaeote. RNAcentral's name for it is "partial 16S ribosomal RNA". It matches the Rfam family "Archaeal small subunit ribosomal RNA", at positions 478 to 725 of the family's 1478-position model. The record is from RNAcentral. Lineage: Archaea; Thermoproteati; Thermoproteota.
AGCUCUCCGAGUGGUGUGGACGUUUAUUGGGCCUAAAGCAUCCGUAGCUGGCUGAACAAGUCCCCUGUUAAACCCACCGAUUUAAUCGUUGGUCUGCGGGGGAUACUGCUCGGCUAGGGGACGAGAGAGGCAGACGGUAUUCCCGGGGUAGGGGUGAAAUCCUAUAAUCCCGAGAAGACCACCAGUGGCGAAGGCUGUCUGCUAGAACGCGCCCGACGGUGAGGGAUGAAAAGCUGGGGGAGCGAACC